GACGAACGCUGGCGGCGUGGAUUAGGCAUGCAAGUCGAACGGUAUCAUCCUUUCGGGGGUGAGAGAGUGGCGAACUGGUGAGUAACACGUAGGUUAUCUACCCUCAAGACGGGGACAACCCAGGGAAACUUGGGCUAAUACCGGAUGUGAGCAACUUUUAGUUGUUUGAAAGGUGGCGUAAGCUGUCGCUUGGGGAUGAGCCUGCGUCCUAUUAGUUAGUUGGUGAGGUAACGGCUCACCUAGGCAAUGAUAGGUAGGCGGCCUUAACGGGUGGUCGCCCACACUGGGAUUGAGAUACGGCCCAGACUCCUACGGGAGGCAGCAGUCGAGAAUAGUCUACAAUGGUCGGAAGACUGAUAGUGCGACGCCGCGUGAACGAUGAAUCCCUUCGGGGUGUAAAAGUUCUUUUAUAUGUGAGCAGUGCUUCUUAUAUUAACAGUAUGGGGAGAGAGAUAUUAGCAUAUGAAUAAGCAACGGCUAACUCCGUGCCCAGCAGCCGCGGUAA
Molecule: ribosomal RNA, 505 nt
Filed under: uncultured bacterium
Lineage: Bacteria
Description: bacterial SSU rRNA
Rfam family: Bacterial small subunit ribosomal RNA
Source: RNAcentral